CACCAUCUUUGUUUCCCUCCUUUGGAUACUCUCUAAUAGCUUUAUAUCUUUCUUACAUUGUGGCACCCAAAACUGCCCCAGCAUUCAAGGUGGGGCUGCCCCAGUGCAGAACAGAGCAAGACAAUCCCCUCUCUUGCCCAGCUGGCAAUGCUGUGCCCGAUGCACCCCAGCAUGUGGCUGACCCUCCUGGAUCCAGGGCACUGCUGACUCAUGUUCAACUUGUCAUUGACCAGGACCUUGUUGGUCAUAGAUGAUGUAUAGGGACUAACCAGGAUUGCUCUGUUUUACAAGGGCAUUAUUUAACCAAGGACAGGCCAGUCCCUAAAAGGAAGACUAUAUUCUAAGGAAUGGAUUUGCUGUGGAACUAGCACAUACUGCCCAAGCAAUGUGAAGCAUAGACUGAAGGCUAGAAGCACCCUGAAUAACAUCCAGUUGUCAACCAGGAAUACUGCUUUGAGUCCUUGAAAUAAACAAGAACAGAGUUUGACCUCCUUUCUGCAAAGGCUGUUACUAC
Molecule: long non-coding RNA, 514 nt
Organism: Vidua macroura (Pin-tailed whydah)
Lineage: Eukaryota; Metazoa; Chordata; Aves; Passeriformes; Viduidae
Exons: 4
Source: RefSeq, a predicted model, not a curated record